RNAcentral lists this long non-coding RNA (292 nucleotides) under Nicotiana benthamiana. RNAcentral's name for it is "long non-coding RNA (NBEN_LNC028166)". Lineage: Eukaryota; Viridiplantae; Streptophyta; Magnoliopsida; Solanales; Solanaceae. The record is from RNAcentral.
ACUUCAAGUGCCAAGUACGAGUCCUAAACGUCCAGGCACUAAAGGCAGCUUUUACUAACAAUGUUAGGGAAAUCCUGAGAAGAGGUACGUAAGAUCCGCGGAUUCUAUCGAAGUAAGGACGGUUCAAAAGCAAAUACGACCAGUUCGACACCUACGCUUAUUGAGGUAAGCGCUUUCUUUAGCAGUGAUGUAAGAAAUCCGGUAGUACUUAUAUCAAAUAUCAAAUAUAGAAAGUCUUGCAGGGCGGUUAAGCCUAUUCGUAGGAAGGUAGGGAUACGUGGUUGAAGGACCA